UGGGGAAUUUUGGACAAUGGGCGAAAGCCUGAUCCAGCAAUGCCGCGUGUGUGAAGAAGGCCUUCGGGUUGUAAACUGCUUUUGUACGGAACGAAAAAGCUCUCUCUAAUACAGGGGGUGAAUGACGGUACCGUAAGAAUAAGCACCGGCUAACUACGUGCCAGCAGCCGCGGUAAUACGUAGGGUGCACGCGUUAAUCGGAAUUACUGGGCGUAAAGCGUGCGCAGGCGGUUUUGUAAGACAGAGGUGAAAUCCCCGGGCUCAACCUGGGAACUGCCUUUGUGACUGCAAGGCUGGAGUGCGGCAGAGGGGGAUGGAAUUCCGCGUGUAGCAGUGAAAUGCGUAGAUAUGCGGAGGAACACCGAUGGCGAAGGCAAUCCCCUGGGCCUGCACUGACGCUCAUGCACGAAAGCGUGGGGAGCAAACA
RNAcentral lists this ribosomal RNA (427 nucleotides) under uncultured bacterium. RNAcentral's name for it is "bacterial SSU rRNA". It matches the Rfam family "Bacterial small subunit ribosomal RNA", at positions 355 to 774 of the family's 1533-position model. The record is from RNAcentral.